Molecule: non-coding RNA, 1279 nt
Organism: Python bivittatus (Burmese python)
Lineage: Eukaryota; Metazoa; Chordata; Lepidosauria; Squamata; Pythonidae
Source: RefSeq, a predicted model, not a curated record
GGGCAGCCAGCAGGAGAGGUCGCAAGUCACUCCAGUAAGAUGCUCCGACUUGCAGCACCCCCCCCUCCUGCAGCCUCCGCCGGCCCUCCCAGGCCUCACCGCCCUCCUGUGGCUCCCCCACACUCUUUACCCGGGACUCCCACCACUUCCCACUUAACAACCUUGGCAACCGGGUCUGCAGGAAUUGUCGUCGCUAAGCGAUGCGGUCCCGCUUUACGACGUCAUCGCUUAGCGAUGGAACUUCCAGUCCCAAUUCUGUUGCAACCUGAGGACUACUUGUAGAGAUACAGAUGAUGUUAAUUUUUGCCUGUUGUUCAUAUCUUUCUCCCUGCUGUCCCCAUUUAUGUCAGUUAAGCGUUUUUGAUGUUGGCCGAUGUUUAAUAAACAAAGCUCCAACUCUGUUUUUUGCUGGCUGAACUGAAUGGGGAGUGUCUUGCUCUGAUCUGGAUGUAGGAAUCAACUGGGUGUGUGCUGGGAGCAGACGAAGCAGGAAGUGACCCACGGUCAUUUUCCAGAUGUUUGGGCCUUUUAUUGCAUCCUUUUGUUUUGGCCCCAGAUGCUGACAGCUCAGAAGAGGACUCGGACGAAUGCCGCUGCCUGAACGGGCACUGUGUCCGCACCCAGCAGGGCUUUGUGUGCGAAUGUCCCUCGGGCUUCCAGCUGGACGCCACUCGCACCCGCUGCCUGGAUAUCGACGAGUGCCAGGAAUUAAACCAACGGGGCCGGCUUUGUAAAACCGAGCGCUGCGUGAACACGAGCGGUUCCUACUUUUGUACCUGCAAGGCGGGCUAUUCGCGCUCCUGGCCUCGCGGAAUCUGCAUUCCCCAGCGAUAGCGCGUAGAACCCACCACCGUGGAAGGGCAGGGGACGUGGGCAUCGGAGAGCCAGAUUCUUCUCUGCCCCCCGGCCAUGGUGAGCUGCUUCUCGCUGCCCACUGUUGGAAACUGGAUACUGGGCUGGGAGCACCUUUUUUCCCUAAGUUCAGCAAGGCGGUUCUCACUUUAUUAAGGACCUUUUUUGAAAAAAAAAGUUGUACCAGCUACGAUGAAGGGGCAUUGAUUUUGCUAUAGAUUUUGUACCUAUCCGCGUUUCUGUUCCUUUAACCCGCUGGAUUGUUAGGGUUGUUGUUUUUUUUAAAUGCAGUUGGUUUGCACUCAUUUCUAUAGGAUUCAGAACUAAAAAACUUUUUUGUACAUAAUAGACAUUGAUGGAAGGAGAAUAAAAGAAGAAAACUUUGAAAUUAAUCAGCUAAUUAAAAAAAAAGGAAAUUGCCAUAAAA